This 463-nucleotide ribosomal RNA is filed under the name Eumonhystera sp. RNAcentral's name for it is "bacterial SSU rRNA". It matches the Rfam family "Eukaryotic small subunit ribosomal RNA", at positions 106 to 564 of the family's 1831-position model. The record is from RNAcentral. Lineage: Eukaryota; Metazoa; Nematoda; Chromadorea; Monhysterida; Monhysteridae.
AUAGCCGUUGUUUCUUGGAUCUCCNAAUACUACAUGGAUAACUGUGGUAAUUCUAGAGCUAAUACAUGCGUACAUGCAUCAACUGGUUUCAGCCGGGCGAUGUGCAUUUAUUGGUACAGAACCAUCCGGCUUCGGCCGUUCAUUGGUGAAUCUAAAUAACUGAGCGGAGCACACACUCUUGCAGUGGUGCCAGUUCUUUCAAGUGUCUACCUUAUCAACUUCCGACGGUAGUUUAUGUGCCUACCGUGGUUGUAACGGGUAACGGAGAAUCAGGGUUUGACUCCGGAGAGGGAGCCUGAGAAACGGCUACCACUUCUAAGGAAGGCAGCAGGCGCGCAAAUUACCCAUUCUCAGCACGAGGAGGUAGUGACGAGAAAUAGCAAGGCGGUGCCCAACGGGUGCCGUCAUUGCAAUGAGUACNAUUUAAAUCCUUUAACGAGGAUCUAGUCGAGGGCAAGUCUGG